GAGUUUGAUCCUGGCUCAGGACGAACGCUGGCGGCGUGCUUAACACAUGCAAGUCGAACGGUAAGGCCCCUUUUUUGGGGUGUACGAGUGGCGAACGGGUGAGUAACACGUGAGUAACCUGCCCCAGACUUUGGGAUAACAGUUGGAAACGAUUGCUAAUACUGGAUAUGAGCUGCUGCCGCAUGGUGGUGGUUUGAAAGUUCCGGCGGUUUGGGAUGGGCUCGCGGCCUAUCAGCUUGUUGGUGAGGUGAUGGCUUACCAAGGCUUCGACGGGUAGCCGGCCUGAGAGGGCGACCGGCCACAUUGGGACUGAGAUACGGCCCAAACUCCUACGGGAGGCAGCAGUGGGGAAUAUUGCACAAUGGACGGAAGUCUGAUGCAGCAACGCCGCGUGCGGGAUGACGGCCUUCGGGUUGUAAACCGCUUUCAUCCAUGACGAAGCUUUUGUGACGGUAGUGGGUAAAGAAGCACCGGCUAACUACGUGCCAGCAGCCGCGGUGAUACGUAGGGUGCGAGCGUUGUCCGGAUUUAUUGGGCGUAAAGAGCUUGUAGGCGGUUUGUCGCGUCGGGAGUGAAAACUCGGAGCUUAACUUUGAGCUUGCUUUCGAUACGGGCUGACUUGAGGGAGGUAGGGGAGAAUGGAAUUCCUGGUGGAGCGGUGGAAUGCGCAGAUAUCANGAGGAACACCGGUGGCGAAGGCGGUUCUCUGGACCUUUCCUGACGCUGAGAAGCGAAAGCGUGGGGAGCGAACAGGCUUAGAUACCCUGGUAGUCCACGCCGUAAACGGUGGGUACUAGGUGUGGGGGACAUUUCCACGUUCUCCGUGCCGUAGCUAACGCAUUAAGUACCCCGCCUGGGGAGUACGGCCGCAAGGCUAAAACUCAAAGGAUUUGACGGGGCCCCGCACAAGCGCCCCCCGCCCCCGGAUUAAUUCGAUGCAACGCGAAGAACCUUACCUGGGUGGGGCUUUUUCCCCCCCCCCCCCCCCCCGGGCGUGCCUNUUUGGUCGGAAAAAAAAAAGUGCAUGGCUGUCGUCAGCUCGUGUCGUGAGAUGUUGGGUUAAGUCCCGCAACGAGCGCAACCCUCGUCCAAUGUUGCCAGCGGGUUAUGCCGGGGACUCAUUGGAGACCGCCGGGGUCAACUCGGAGGAAGGUGGGGAUGACCCCCCCCCCUCAUGCCCCUUAUGUCCAGGGCUUCCCCCACCCCCCAAUGGCCGGUACAAAGAGCUGCGAGCCUGUGAGGGUGAGCGAAUCUCGGAAAGCCGGUCUCAGUUCGGAUUGGGGUCUGCAACUCGACCCCAUGAAGUCGGAGUCACGAGUAAUCGCAGAUCAGCAACGCUGCGGUGAAUACGUUCCCGGGGCUUGUACACACCGCCCGUC
Molecule: ribosomal RNA, 1379 nt
Filed under: uncultured bacterium
Lineage: Bacteria
Description: 16S ribosomal RNA
Rfam family: Bacterial small subunit ribosomal RNA
Source: RNAcentral